AACGAACGCUGGCGGCAGGCUUAACACAUGCAAGUCGAACGCAUCCUUCGGGGUGAGUGGCAGACGGGUGAGUAACGCGUGGGAACGUGCCCUUCAGUUCGGGAUAACCCAGGGAAACUUGGGCUAAUACCGGAUACGUGCGAGAGCAGAAAGAUUUAUCGCUGAAGGAUCGGCCCGCGUCUGAUUAGCUAGUUGGUAGGGUAAUGGCCUACCAAGGCGACGAUCAGUAGCNGGUCUGAGAGGAUGAUCAGCCACAUUGGGACUGAGACACGGCCCAAAACUCCUACGGGAGGCAGCAGUGGGGAAUAUUGGACAAUGGGCGCAAGCCUGAUCCAGCCAUGCCGCGUGAGUGAUGAAGGCC
RNAcentral lists this ribosomal RNA (361 nucleotides) under uncultured bacterium. Its description in RNAcentral is "bacterial SSU rRNA". It matches the Rfam family "Bacterial small subunit ribosomal RNA", at positions 29 to 416 of the family's 1533-position model. The record is from RNAcentral.